UACGAAGGGGGCUAGCGUUGUUCGGAAUUACUGGGCGUAAAGGGCGCGUAGGCGGCGUGUCAAGUCAGGCGUGAAAGCCCCGGGCUCAACCUGGGAACCGCGCUUGAGACUGGCAUGCUCGAGUUCGGGAGAGGAGCGUGGAAUUCCCAGUGUAGAGGUGAAAUUCGUAGAUAUUGGGAAGAACACCGGUGGCGAAGGCGGCGCUCUGGACCGAGACUGACGCUGAGGCGCGAAAGCGUGGGGAGCAAACAGG
This 253-nucleotide ribosomal RNA is filed under the name uncultured bacterium. RNAcentral describes it as "partial 16S ribosomal RNA". It matches the Rfam family "Bacterial small subunit ribosomal RNA", at positions 524 to 776 of the family's 1533-position model. The record is from RNAcentral.